Molecule: long non-coding RNA, 498 nt
Filed under: Setaria italica (foxtail millet)
Lineage: Eukaryota; Viridiplantae; Streptophyta; Magnoliopsida; Poales; Poaceae
Description: long non-coding RNA (SITA_LNC004378)
Source: RNAcentral
CCCAUUGCAUAUUUGCUCAAUAACGUCAUGAUCUGGACCCAACAUUGAACUAGGCACCCGACCACUCGUGCGCACCAUUUUGCUGCUUACCUGAACAACAAAGGAGGAAAAAGGCAUCAGCUUGUCAUGCAUAUAGGUGGUUUUGUUGCAGCAGCACAGCACGUUCUAUCGAUUCUUGCUGUCGGUACUGUUAACGACGCCAUUUGUUCAGUAAAUGCAGUUAAAUAGUCUGGUAUUCCAACUUAAGAUGUCACUGCCGUCUACAUUUUGUAUCGUUGACAUUUAACAAGAUUUAAAUCUUCAUGCGUCCAUCCAAUAGGCAAGCCAGAGGCACCUACAUACAUCACAUAAAACUAAUCUUAGAAACACUUCAUUGGCUUUGGAGGUAAGUAAUUAAGAUUUUUUUUUUACCAAGCAUCUUAACUUAUGCUGCAGAACAACCCAUGUUUCCAGAGUAUAACAGGUUACCAAGCGUUUGCAGAACUAAUUGCAGAGCUG